GUGCACUGGGCCUUCGGACAGCCGCCAGGCUCAUUCCAGCGCAAAAGGACUCCGGUACUGGGCUUGCGAGCGCGUCCUCCACUCCCGAUUCGGUUGCGUGAAAAAAAGUCUCGAUUCCAGGCGCAGCGGGAGCGACCGCACCGAAUCCAUCCACCCCGGGUUGUAGGAGCAGAGAGAAGGCAAUUCAUCUCGAGUAGAGACGCGGUCGAAUCCAUCGAGUCCGGAUUUCAGGCGCUCAAAGGAUCCAAUUCAUCCGGUCCAGAUUUGAACUGCACAGACGAGCCGCCGCUUCGGUCGAUUCGGUCCACCUGAGGUGCGUGAUGGACCGGGGCAAGUACAUCUGUGCGCUGGGAUCGACCGGAGGAGUAGGAUCCGGGUACAGAUGAUGCAGUCCAGAGCUGAAGCGAAGAGGCGGACGAUGCGGUCCGAGUCCUGCCGAUGCAGUUGAGAGCUCAAGUGACGAGGCGCACGAUGCGGCUAAAGAAAGUUGGGGACGAGGGCGAUAAUGGCAGAUGCCUCGUCUGCAUGAAACGUCUUUGCUCUCUCUUGAAUCUCGCAAUCAUGGCCUAUUCAUGCCUGGUAAUGUUACAAUCUUUUCCUAUGGUCAGUGCUACUAUAUAAUGCUUCACCCCUGCGAGUCUUUCCACACCCUCUACACUCGGCAUCAACAUCUUAUUCAGCAUCAUGCUCAGGUAACCUCCCGAAGAAAAUGUGUUUGAUCGCUGCCAGAUGGAAGGUCGACGGGGUUGACUGGCUCGAUCCAGCCGAGCGCGAUGCAGGCGACGCGCGGAUCCUUGGAUACAACCGACGCACGCGAUCUGUCUACGAGGGGAUCCAUCUGAUGCGUGUGACCCUUUGGGAUUUGAAGAAGGCAAUUAAUCUUCAGUUUCUAGAGUCGUUCAUGGUGGAUGAUGUAUGCCGGUCGUUGACGGCGAUUAAUGAAGGUGGUGGCUGUUGUUUCACGAUGGUGAGGAGAUAUUGCACAAAACUUAGGUGACCAAAAUCCACCCCUCAGUAAGAUUGGGACAUCUAAAAUACCCACCAAUUAGCGAACACAAUGGAAUACAUGUGGCAGUUGUUGACCAGACUUGAGUCUAACAAAUGAGCAGUACCUAUGACCGCAUCCGCGUAGGAUGAACAUGAUGUAUACCCCAAAAAUUAUUGACCUGUUAAGUAUAUUUUCGUGGCGUGGAUGCUAAAGUCCGAGCAGGUACAUCAGAAGCUACUGCAACUACUUGACUGCAAGAUGCUGUUCGGUUGUGCAUGACGCAUUCUGCUAGAGCUAUGAGAUGAGUUUGACUCCUAAGCUUUGUUUGAUAAAUAGUGUUAAGUCCCCUCUUGGGUUGCACACAUUAUUACUUUGCCUUCCGGGGAAAACUGAUUGUAUGAAUGGAUCGGUUAAUUUUACUAAGGUUAAUUAGUGCCAGUAAGUUGAAUUGUUUCUAUAUAGAAAAUGAAAUGUUAGUGCCAUUGUUCUAUUGCAGUAA
This is a long non-coding RNA of Triticum aestivum (bread wheat), 1487 nucleotides long. RefSeq lists it as uncharacterized. Lineage: Eukaryota; Viridiplantae; Streptophyta; Magnoliopsida; Poales; Poaceae. The record is from RefSeq and is a predicted model, not a curated record. The transcript is spliced from 4 exons.